AAAGUCGUAACAAGGUUUCCGUAGGUGAACCUGCGGAAGGAUCAUUAUCGAAUUGUAAGGAUUCAGUUGUCGCUGGCUCUCUCUGGGAGCAUGUGCACGCUGGAUUCAAACUCUUCAUUCUUAACCUCCUGUGCACCUUUUGUGGACUGUAGUCAGAUAACUCGUCGAGGUAACACUCGGUCUUGCACAUUGCGCCUAACCCGCGCUUUGUGCUGCAUCUGACUGCGGUUCAUGUCUUUACUACAAACUAUUAAUUAAAUCUAGAAUGUCUAAAGGUUGGGACUAGCGCCCUUCUUAAAUGUAAAUACAACUUUCAACAACGGAUCUCUUGGCUCUC
Molecule: unclassified non-coding RNA, 337 nt
Filed under: Basidiomycota sp.
Lineage: Eukaryota; Fungi; Basidiomycota
Description: partial contains small subunit ribosomal RNA, internal transcribed spacer 1, and 5.8S ribosomal RNA
Rfam family: Eukaryotic small subunit ribosomal RNA (bases 1-47)
Source: RNAcentral